This 318-nucleotide long non-coding RNA is filed under the name Solanum tuberosum (potato). RNAcentral's name for it is "long non-coding RNA (STUB_LNC007678)". Lineage: Eukaryota; Viridiplantae; Streptophyta; Magnoliopsida; Solanales; Solanaceae. The record is from RNAcentral.
GCAGCUCGAGAAGAGGCGUUGGCCAAGGUUUCUGCUCUUGAACUAGAGAUAAGUGCUGCAAUGCCAACAAAUAAUGAAAUUCUGGUAAAAGAUGCUUCUUCUCAGUCGAAGAUUAGUCAAGCAAAGAAAACAGUUAGUCAUGCAAAUCAAAAGGGGAAAAAGAGGAAGGUGAAAAUUGUAGAAGCGACUCAUUCUGUUUCGAAUUCGGAUUCAGAUUUCGUAAGUGAGAUUAAAAAGAAAAAAAUAAAAAAGCAGCAAAUGUCGAAAUUGGUCAAUCUUCAAAAUCAAUCAACAAGAAGAACAACAAGGAAUGAGGAC